AUUGGAAGCUUGCUUCCGAUAGGCGUCGACGGGCGCACGGGUGAGUAACGCGUAUCCAACCUGCCCACCACUUGGGGAUAACCUUGCGAAAGUAAGACUAAUACCCAAUGAUAUCUCUAGAAGACAUCUGAAAGAGAUUAAAGAUUUAUCGGUGAUGGAUGGGGAUGCGUCUGAUUAGCUUGUUGGCGGGGUAACGGCUCACCAAGGCAACGAUCAGUAGGGGUUCUGAGAGGAAGGUCCCCCACAUUGGAGCUGAGACACGGUCCAAACUCCUACGGGAGGCAGCAGUGAGGAAUAUUGGUCAAUGGACGAGAGUCUGAACCAGCCAAGUAGCGUGCAGGAUGACGGCCCUAUGGGUUGUAAACUGCUUUUAUAAGGGAAUAAAGUGAGUCUCGUGAGACUUUUUGCAUGUACCUUAUGAAUAAGGACCGGCUAAUUCCGUGCCAGCAGCCGCGGUAAUACGGAAGGUCCGGGCGUUAUCCGGAUUUAUUGGGUUUAAAGGGAGCGUAGGCCGGAGAUUAAGCGUGUUGUGAAAUGUAGACGCUCAACGUCUGCACUGCAGCGCGAACUGGUUUCCUUGAGUACGCACAAAGUGGAAGGAAUUCGUGGUGUAGCGGUG
RNAcentral lists this ribosomal RNA (619 nucleotides) under uncultured Prevotella sp. RNAcentral's name for it is "bacterial SSU rRNA". It matches the Rfam family "Bacterial small subunit ribosomal RNA", at positions 71 to 683 of the family's 1533-position model. The record is from RNAcentral. Lineage: Bacteria; Pseudomonadati; Bacteroidota; Bacteroidia; Bacteroidales; Prevotellaceae.